CAAAGUGACAACACGAGCAGACAAGUAGUUAUAAACUAGUUAAGCUGAAAAAAAAAGAGCGUGGAUAAAUUAAAUUAAAGCAACCUUGAGACGACACAUAGGAGAAGUGGAAGAGGUGAUUAUAUGAUCUGUGUGCCAGGAGUUGAAUGCUUUUAGCAGAGUCUUGGCUAGGUUUUUGAGAUUCCCUGGAGAUACCCUUAGAUUUGGAUUUUGGAUUCUCCUUGACGAAGGAGAUGGCGAGCCAGUACUGAACCAGAUCCCCUCCUUAUCCCAAGGAGUUGGAACCAUCUUCGCCCAGAGGAGAAGACCAUCCCGGCCUUCACUCUCCAUCAUUUGAGUGGUAGGACUGUGACAACUUCACACCUUACCAUAUGACUUCUGACAGAACUAAAACGUUUUGAACUGAAACUGACCCUCUGACUUAAGCUAGCUGAACGGACGACGACUAACUAAACUGGAACUUGAGUGGAUCAAAGGAAUCCUGGACUUUAUUAAUCUUGAACUCUAUUCAUACCAAAGACAUUUCCUCGUGGAGUUGAACUGUGUUGGGUAUUAUAUUUCUAAGGUGGUUUAUGUUAAUUUCUUAAAACACUGUGAAACUAUUUUUGUUCCAGAGUCCUGGUUAAGAAAGGACCUUUGUUAUUUUUCAUUAUACAACUUUCAAUACAUUCACAUUUGAAGUUAAAGUA
This is a long non-coding RNA of Dicentrarchus labrax (European seabass), 689 nucleotides long. RefSeq lists it as uncharacterized. Lineage: Eukaryota; Metazoa; Chordata; Actinopteri; Moronidae. The record is from RefSeq and is a predicted model, not a curated record. The transcript has 2 exons.